This 29-nucleotide small RNA is filed under the name Bombyx mori (domestic silkworm). Its description in RNAcentral is "ovarian small RNA-18016". The record is from RNAcentral. Lineage: Eukaryota; Metazoa; Arthropoda; Insecta; Lepidoptera; Bombycidae.
UAAAACAAAGCAUUGCGAUGGCCCUCUUA